AACGAACGCUGGCGGCAUGCCUAACACAUGCAAGUCGAACGAGACCUUCGGGUCUAGUGGCGCACGGGUGCGUAACGCGUGGGAACCUGCCCUUAGGUUCGGAAUAACUCCCCGACAGGGGUGCUAAUACCGGAUAAUGUCUUCGGUCCAAAGAUUUAUCGCCUUUGGAUGGGCCCGCGUUGGAUUAGCUAGUUGGUAGGGUAAAAGCCUACCAAGGCGACGAUCCAUAGCUGGUCUGAGAGGAUGAUCAGCCACACUGGGACUGAGACACGGCCCAGACUCCUACGGGAGGCAGCAGUGGGGAAUAGUGGACAAUGGGCGAAAGCCUGAUCCAGCAAUGCCGCGUGAGUGAUGAAGGCCUUAGGGUUGUAAAGCUCUUUUACCCGGGAUGAUAAUGACAGUACCGGGAGAAUAAGCUCCGGCUAACUCCGUG
Molecule: ribosomal RNA, 433 nt
Filed under: uncultured bacterium
Lineage: Bacteria
Description: partial 16S ribosomal RNA
Rfam family: Bacterial small subunit ribosomal RNA
Source: RNAcentral